Molecule: ribosomal RNA, 301 nt
Filed under: uncultured bacterium
Lineage: Bacteria
Description: partial 16S ribosomal RNA
Rfam family: Bacterial small subunit ribosomal RNA
Source: RNAcentral
CAGUCGCCACGGUAAUACGUAGGUGGCAAGCGUUGUCCGGAAUUAUUGAGCGUAAAGGGCUCGCAGGCGGUUUCUUAAGUCUGAUGUGAAAGCCCCCGGCUCAACCGGGGAGGGUCAUUGGAAACUGGGAAACUUGAGUGCAGAAGAGGAGAGUGGAAUUCCACGUGUAGCGGUGAAAUGCGUGGAGAUGUGGAGGAACACCAGUGGCGAAGGCGACUCUCUGGUCUGUAACUGACGCUGAGGAGCGAAAGCGUGGGGAGCAAAUGGGAUUAGAUACCCCUGUAGUCCCUGUCUCUUAUAC